This 255-nucleotide ribosomal RNA is filed under the name uncultured bacterium. RNAcentral describes it as "partial 16S ribosomal RNA". It matches the Rfam family "Bacterial small subunit ribosomal RNA", at positions 524 to 776 of the family's 1533-position model. The record is from RNAcentral.
UACGUAGGGGCCUAGCGUUGUCCGGAUUUAUUGGGCGUAAAGAGCUCGUAGGCGGUUCGGUAAGUCAGGUGUGAAAUCUCCACGCUCAACGUGGAGGCGCCACCUGAAACUGCCGUGACUCGAGUCCGGUAGGGGAGUGUGGAAGUUCCUGGUGUAGCGGUGAAAUGCGCAGAUAUCAGGAGGAACACCAGUGGCGAAGGCGGCUACCUGGAUUGAUACUGACACUGAGGCGCGAGAGCGUGGGGAGCAAACAGG